Molecule: ribosomal RNA, 430 nt
Filed under: uncultured bacterium
Lineage: Bacteria
Description: bacterial SSU rRNA
Rfam family: Bacterial small subunit ribosomal RNA
Source: RNAcentral
UGGGGAAUAUUGCGCAAUGGGGGAAACCCUGACGCAGCAACGCCGCGUGGGUGAAGAAGGCCUUCGGGUUGUAAAGCCCUUUCGACCUGGAAGAAGGGUGUAUUCCGGAUAAUGGAGUGCAUUUGAUGGUACAGGGGGAAGAAGCACCGGCAACCUUCGUGCCAGCAGCCGCGGUAAUACGAAGGGUGCGAGCGUUGUUCGGAAUUACUGGGCGUAAAGGGUUCGUAGGUGGGAUUGUAAGUUGAGUGUGAAAACCCUGGGCUUAACCUGGGACGUGCAUUCAAAACUGCGAUUCUUGAGUGUUGUAGAGGGUGGUGGAAUUGCUGGUGUAGGAGUGACAUCCGUAGAGAUCAGCAGGAACGCCGGAGGCGAAAGCGACCGCCUGGGCAAACACUGACGCUGAGGAACGAAAGCGUGGGGAGCAAACAGG